GAGUGAUCCACCCGAUCCCAUCCCGAACUCGGCCGUGAAACCCCCCAGCGCCUAUGAUACUGCGGCUUAAGUCGUGGGAAAGUCGGUCGCCGCCA
This 95-nucleotide ribosomal RNA is filed under the name Acetobacter malorum. The record is from RNAcentral. Lineage: Bacteria; Pseudomonadati; Pseudomonadota; Alphaproteobacteria; Acetobacterales; Acetobacteraceae.